This 376-nucleotide ribosomal RNA is filed under the name uncultured bacterium. RNAcentral's name for it is "bacterial SSU rRNA". It matches the Rfam family "Bacterial small subunit ribosomal RNA", at positions 524 to 898 of the family's 1533-position model. The record is from RNAcentral.
UACGUAGGGGGCAAGCGUUGUCCGGAAUUAUUGGGCGUAAAGCGCGUGUAGGCGGCUCGGUAAGUCUGCUGUGAAAGUCCAGGGCUCAACCCUGGAAUGCCGGUGGAUACUGUCGAGCUCGAGUCCGGAAGAGGCGAGUGGAAUUCCUGGUGUAGCGGUGAAAUGCGCAGAUAUCAGGAGGAACACCAAUGGCGAAGGCAGCUCGCUGGGACGGUACUGACGCUGAGACGCGAAAGCGUGGGGAGCAAACAGGAUUAGAUACCCUGGUAGUCCACGCCGUAAACGAUGGGUACUAGGUGUAGGGGGUGUCGACUCCCCCUGUGCCGACGCUAACGCAUUAAGUACCCCGCCUGGGGAGUACGGCCGCAAGGCUAAA